Molecule: long non-coding RNA, 3105 nt
Filed under: Canis lupus familiaris (dog)
Lineage: Eukaryota; Metazoa; Chordata; Mammalia; Carnivora; Canidae
Description: lncRNA (ENSCAFG00845013843.1)
Source: RNAcentral
AUGCACAUCAGGGUGUUGCUGGGCAGGUUCCACUCAACCAUGAUGGGAGGGCACCAAUGCUGGACCCCAAGAUCUGAGAUCCAUAUGCCUGAGGCCCUUGAAUGUCCAGAAGUGGUGCCUUGCCAUCUGAUCCCGACCUGGAAGGAGCUGGAGGCACACCAGGGUGGUCCAGUGGCUUCAGCUGACAGGUGGACAGCCAGGAUGCUAACAAGCUUCGUUCUUGUUCCUUGGACCAGUCAUCCAGGGCACGUGGACCCUCCCAGUGGCACACUGUGCCAGCCCAAGGGCUACCACAGGCGACUUCAAAAUGAGCAGGUUCCUUGCAGGGAGAUGUGCAGUACAGCGUCACACCACCAGGGGGCGCUGCCCAGCUGGUAUCUUUCUCCUUCAUGCUCUGCCGGGUUUCUCAAGGAGGCUGGGAAGACAGAAUCAGGAGCCCUGGGAUGCAGGUUUGCCCGUAGGCUUCGAUUUAUGGGCUCCUAGCCUUGACCUUGAAGAUCUGCCACCUGGUGGGCUGGGAAUGGCAUUAACAGGAACCCUCCACAACUCCUGGACCCUUUACAGUUUGCUUCCUGUUCCUGUACAUUCCAUCUUAUCCAACUAAGGGGAUAAUGCCCAGAUACUGAACUAAGGCUCAGAGAGGUGAAGAGGCUGCUUGAGGCCACACAGCUGGUAAGUGGCAAAGCAGAGAUCCCUCCUAGGCUUGCGUGAUGCCAACCCCUGGGCCCCAGUGUCUGAGUGGGGGGAGGCAGCACGGUGCUGGGGGGGGGUGGGCAGGAGGGUAUCCCAGGAGACUGGAGCCAGCUCUGAGUCUUGCUCUACCUCCACCCAGCACAGCUGACUAUUCCUAUCCAUUCUCUUCCCCUCUCCCCACGUGGGAUUUCAGCGACCAUCUCCAGUUUGGGGGGAAUUGGUGAGGGGCUCAGGCAGCACCAGUGGAGCCCUCGAUGUUCAGCCAAGAUACAUGCUUUUUCUAGAGCACAGCUUGGCUUCUUAAGGGAUGAUUUUCAGUCCUGCCAGAGACUUCCACACUAGCCAUCCCAACUAGCCAUAGACACCUCAGCCUGCAACUGUAGAGUCUGGGGCCAGAUGCUACAAUGCAAGGAGCCAAGGCAGUGUGCUAACGGGGGAUGCCUAAAGCCACCUCUCACUCUACAUCAUCACUAUGCUCAAUGCCAUACAUGCAGCCUAAUUUAAUCCCUGUGAUGGCCCUGUGAAAAGAUUAUGAUCUCCAUUUACAGGUGAGGACACUGAGGCUCAUAGGGUACCUCUGCAGCUCUGGAGAGCAGUGGGCUGGCUUUCCUCCCAUGCCUGCCACUGAGAUGCACGAGGAGUGGGCAAGCACGGAUCUUAGCCUCUGCUUGAGUUCUGGAGAAUGUAAAGGACAUGAGAGCUGGCUGUCCUUCAGCAAACAUCUCCUGAGACUUACCAGGCUUCCAGGAGCUCACAAACCUAGGGGGGUCCGCCAGGUCCUCAGUGGAGGAUAAACUGCAGCCAGACUUGUGAGUGAGCAUGUGCAGAGGCCAGCAAGAGUGACAGGGGGCUCUGGUGGUCAGUUGGCCAGGGUUUACAGGAGGAGGGGAGACUGGAGCCAGUCAUCAAAGGGUGAGGGCGAGCACGCUCUGCAGAGGGGAGGUGUGGGAGACUUGUGAGCAAAAGCCAGGUUUCCAGGGUCCUGCGGCUGAGUGGGGAGACACAGGUGAAUGAGGUCUCCUCUCUGGGGCACACCUUUGGUCUUAGGAGAUAAGAUGCAGGAAGAUGCUGGGUGUCCAUGGAGGGGGGUGCCUCAGGGAGCACAUGCAUUAUGAUGAUCCAUCUCAGUGAAAAAGAUGAGGUUUUGGAUUGACUAUAGGCAGAAAACUGGAUGCCUCCAUGAGUGUGAAUGUGUACACACGAGCGUAUCUUUGAAGCCCAACGUCAAAGUCGUUGACCUACCACCCUGAGAAAUUGACUGGACAGAAAUACCAUCCUCAAUGACAGAGGAGAAAACAGAACCCCCGGGGGCCUGGGGCUCAAUAGUGGAAAAGCCAAGGUCUAUCAUGGACUCCUGGUCCCAGCUCUAUGCCCCUGUCUCAACCUUCUGCCUAGACUGCCAUCCUAUCUCUCAGGGCCCUGCAUGUCACAGGCCACCAUGUCACCUGCCUCCCCCUGCAUUUUCACAGGAAAAGCCCCAUGGUGGGUCUGGCAGCAGAAGUGAAGGGCUGAAACCAGAAAGAGGAGGAUCCCAGUAGCUGCAGAAGUCAGAGCCCAAGACCAGGGUGGAGUCGCCAUCCUCUUCUCCCAAGCUGCUGAAAGUGCCGGCCACUGCCGUUAGGAGGAAGUGCCUCAGAGAAAGGACCCGGGAGAGACAAAGCCCUGGGCUGGUUCUCCAGGGAAGGCUUGGGUAAGGGCUCCCUAGUUUGACCUCUUCCUUCCAGAGUCUUCAGUGGGAUGGCACUGGGAACAGAAAGUCUGGGGAGUCCACCUCUGCCCCCUGCCUGUACCACUGGGCACUUGCAAAGCUCUCCCUUAGGGCCAGGCACUGCUCUGGGCGCCUGCACACAUAUUCUCAAUUUCCACAACCACUUCAGGGGGAAGGUAUAAUUAUUACCUCGGUUUUAUGCGUAAGAAGAGGGAAGCACAGAGAGGUUCCGUGACUCAUCCAAGAUCACUCCAUUUGUAGAGGGUAGAGCUGGGGUUGAACACAAGGAAUCUGCCUCAAGGAGAGGCAGAUCUGGUCAUUAAUAACAAUAACAAGCAAAGCCAUUUGACCAGUACCUCCUGUGUGCCUGGGGCUUCAGUCCUCACAGCAAGGCUGGGACGGGGGCACUCCUCAUUUCAUAGAUGAGUAAAUCCGAGCUUAGCAGGCGGCCAGGGGUGAGGCGCCUGCAGAAUCUCACAGAUGCUAGGUCUCCCUAAAACGGAAGGGUCCACUCUCAGCCUCUUUGCAGGCCUCUUUGACUCGCUGUGUGACAGUGGGAAAGCACAUUCCUCUACAGAGCCUCAGUUUCCCUAUGGCCUAGGCCUUCUAUUCCUGGCCUCCCUGCUCCAGCAAGUGACGGAGUGGCUGGGAUUGCGACGUUGUGGGAAUGUGCGUCUCCUCCGUGAAGAGCCUUUGCCUCCCCC